AGACAUAAAAGGUGGCUUCGGCUACCACUUACAGAUGGACCCGCGGCGCAUUAGCUAGUUGGUGAGGUAACGGCUCACCAAGGCGACGAUGCGUAGCCGACCUGAGAGGGUGAUCGGCCACACUGGGACUGAGACACGGCCCAGACUCCUACGGGAGGCAGCAGUAGGGAAUCUUCCGCAAUGGACGAAAGUCUGACGGAGCAACGCCGCGUGAGUGAUGAAGGUUUUCGGAUCGUAAAGCUCUGUUGUUAGGGAAGAACAAGUGCCGUUCAAAUAGGGCGGCACCUUGACGGUACCUAACCAGAAAGCCACGGCUAACUACGUGCCAGCAGCCGCGGUAAUACGUAGGUGGCAAGCGUUGUCCGGAAUUAUUGGGCGUAAAGGGCUCGCAGGCGGUUUCUUAAGUCUGAUGUGAAAGCCCCCGGCUCAACCGGGGAGGGUCAUUGGAAACUGGGGAACUUGAGUGCAGAAGAGGAGAGUGGAAUUCCACGUGUAGCGGUGAAAUGCGUAGAGAUGUGGAGGAACACCAGUGGCGAAGGCGACUCUCUGGUCUGUAACUGACGCUGAGGAGCGAAAGCGUGGGGAGCGAACAGGAUUAGAUACCCUGGUAGUCCACGCCGUAAACGAUGAGUGCUAAGUGUU
This 642-nucleotide ribosomal RNA is filed under the name Bacillus siamensis. RNAcentral's name for it is "bacterial SSU rRNA". It matches the Rfam family "Bacterial small subunit ribosomal RNA", at positions 196 to 824 of the family's 1533-position model. Lineage: Bacteria; Bacillati; Bacillota; Bacilli; Caryophanales; Bacillaceae. The record is from RNAcentral.